Molecule: ribosomal RNA, 497 nt
Filed under: uncultured bacterium
Lineage: Bacteria
Description: partial 16S ribosomal RNA
Rfam family: Bacterial small subunit ribosomal RNA
Source: RNAcentral
GAUGAACGCUGGCGGCGUGCCUAAUACAUGCAAGUCGAGCGAACGGACGAGAAGCUGGCUUCUCUGAUGUUAGCGGCGGACGGGUGAGUAACACGUGGAUAACCUACCUAUAAGACUGGGAUAACUUCGGGAAACCGGAGCUAAUACCGGAUGAUAUUUUGAACCGCAUGGUUCAAAAGUGAAAGACGGUCUUGCUGUCACUUAUAGAUGGAUCCGCGCUGCAUUAGCUAGUUGGUAAGGUAACGGCUUACCAAGGCAACGAUGCAUAGCCGACCUGAGAGGGUGAUCGGCCACACUGGAACUGAGACACGGUCCAGACUCCUACGGGAGGCAGCAGUAGGGAAUCUUCCGCAAAGGGCGAAAGCCUGACGGAGCAACGCCGCGUGAGUGAUGAAGGUCUUCGGAUCGUAAAACUCUGUUAUUAGGGAAGAACAUAUGUGUAAGUAACUGUGCACAUCUUGACGGUACCUAAUCAGAAAGCCACGGCUAACUACGUG